This 2930-nucleotide ribosomal RNA is filed under the name Campylobacter fetus. RNAcentral's name for it is "23S ribosomal RNA". It matches the Rfam family "Bacterial large subunit ribosomal RNA". RNAcentral also lists the same sequence under 1 other name. The record is from RNAcentral. Lineage: Bacteria; Pseudomonadati; Campylobacterota; Epsilonproteobacteria; Campylobacterales; Campylobacteraceae.
AAAAAAGGUAAGCUACUAAGAGCAAAUGGUGGAUGCCUUGGCUAGUAGAGGCGAUGAAAGACGUGCCAGGCUGCGAUAAGUCUCGGGGAGCCGUCAAGGGGCUUUGAUCCGGGAAUUUCUGAAUGGGGCAACCCAGUAUAUAGUGAUAUAUACUACCGCAAUGCGGAGCUAACGUUGGGAAUUGAAACAUCUUAGUACCAACAGGAAAAGAAAUCAAAAGAGAUUACGCUAGUAGCGGCGAGCGAACGCGUAAGAGGGCAAACCGUUAGUUUACUAACGGGGUUGUAGGACUGCAACAUAGACUUAAACAAACUAAUAGAAUAACCUGGAAAGGUUGGCCAUAGAGGGUGAUAGCCCCGUAUAUGAAAGUGCGUUUAUACUUAGCAGUAUCCUGAGUAGGGCGGGACACGUGAAAUCCUGUCUGAAGCUGGGGAGACCACUCUCCAACCCUAAAUACUACUACUAGACCGAUAGUGCACAAGUACCGUGAGGGAAAGGUGAAAAGAACUGAGGUGAUCAGAGUGAAAUAGAACCUGAAACCAUUUGCUUACAAUCAUUCAGAGCACGAUUCUUUAUGACGUGUGAUGGACUGCCUUUUGCAUAAUGAGCCUGCGAGUUGUGGUGUCUGGCGAGGUUAAGGAAACCCGGAGCCGUAGCGAAAGCGAGUCUUAAUAGGGCGUAUAGUCAGAUGCUGCAGACCCGAAACGAUGUGAUCUAUCCAUGAGCAGGUUGAAACUGGUGUAAGAGCCAGCGGAGGACCGAACAGACGGCCGUUGAAAAGGCUCCUGAUGACUUGUGGAUAGGGGUGAAAGGCCAAUCAAACAUCGUGAUAGCUGGUUCUCUCCGAAAUAUAUUUAGGUAUAGCGUUGUGUCGUAAUUAUAAGGGGUAGAGCACUGAAUGGGCUAGGGCAUAUACCAAUGUACCAAACCCUAUCAAACUCCGAAUACUUAUAAUGUAAUCACAGCAGUCAGGCGGCGAGUGAUAAAAUCCGUCGUCAAGAGGGGAACAACCCAGACUAACAGCUAAGGUCCCUAAAUCUCAUUUAAGUGGAAAACGAUGUGGAGUUACUGAAACAACCAGGAGGUUGGCUUAGAAGCAGCCAUCCUUUAAAGAAAGCGUAAUAGCUCACUGGUCUAGUGAUUCUGCGCGGAAAAUAUAACGGGGCUAAAAUGAGUACCGAAGCUUUAGACUUAGUUUUUAACUAAGUGGUAGGAGAGCGUUCUAUUCAGCGUUGAAGGUAUACCGGUAAGGAGUGCUGGAGCGGAUAGAAGUGAGCAUGCAGGCAUGAGUAGCGAUAAUUGAUGUGAGAAUCAUCAACGCCGAAAACCCAAGGUUUCCUACGCGAUGCUCGUCAUCGUAGGGUUAGUCGGGUCCUAAGCAAAGUCCGAAAGGGGUAUGCGAUGGAAAAUUGGUUAAUAUUCCAAUACCAAUUAUUAUGUGCGAUGGAAGGACGCUUAAAGUUAGUGGAGCUAGCGGAUGGAAGUGCUAGUCUAAGGGUGUAGGUUGAGUUAUAGGCAAAUCCGUAACUCUUUAUCCGAGACCUAAAAGGCUCAUGACGCUCUUCGGAGUAGAUUGAGAAUCCAUGAUACUAUCGAGCCAAGAAAAGUUUCUAAGUUUAGUAAUAAUUGCCCGUACCGUAAACCGACACAGGUGGGUGGGAUGAGUAUUCUAAGGCGCGUGGAAGAACUCUCUUUAAGGAACUCUGCAAAAUAGCACCGUAUCUUCGGUAUAAGGUGUGCCUAACUUUGUAUUAAGAUUCACUCCCAAAGCAAAGAAGGUUACAACAAAGAGUCCCUCCCGACUGUUUACCAUAAACACAGCACUCUGCUAACACGUAAGUGGAUGUAUAGGGUGUGACGCCUGCCCGGUGCUCGAAGGUUAAUUGAUGAUGUUAGCUAUGCGAAGCAUUUGAUCGAAGCCCGAGUAAACGGCGGCCGUAACUAUAACGGUCCUAAGGUAGCGAAAUUCCUUGUCGGUUAAAUACCGACCUGCAUGAAUGGCGUAACGAGAUGGGAGCUGUCUCAAAGAGGGAUCCAGUGAAAUUGUAGUGGAGGUGAAAAUUCCUCCUACCCGCGGCAAGACGGAAAGACCCCGUGGACCUUUACUACAGCUUGACACUGCUACUUGGAUAAAGAUGCGCAGGAUAGGUGGGAGGCUUUGAUCCAUAGACCCUGGUUUAUGGUGAGCCAUUGUUGAGAUACCACUCUUCUUUAUUCGGGUAGCUAACUAGCCUAAGUUAUCCUUAGGUAGGACAAUGUCUGGUGGGUAGUUUGACUGGGGCGGUCGCCUCCCAAAAUGUAACGGAGGCUUACAAAGGUUGGCUCAGAACGGUUGGAAAUCGUUCGUAGAGUAUAAAGGCAUAAGCCAGCUUAACUGCGAGACAUACACGUCAAGCAGAGACGAAAGUCGGUCUUAGUGAUCCGGUGGUUCUGUGUGGAAGGGCCAUCGCUCAAAGGAUAAAAGGUACCCCGGGGAUAACAGGCUGAUCUCCCCCAAGAGCUCACAUCGACGGGGAGGUUUGGCACCUCGAUGUCGGCUCAUCGCAUCCUGGGGCUGGAGCAGGUCCCAAGGGUAUGGCUGUUCGCCAUUUAAAGCGGUACGCGAGCUGGGUUCAGAACGUCGUGAGACAGUUCGGUCCCUAUCUGCCGUGGGCGUAAGAAGAUUGAGGAGAGUUGACCCUAGUACGAGAGGACCGGGUCGAACUAGCCACUGGUGUACCAGUUGUUCUGCCAAGAGCAUCGCUGGGUAGCUAAGCUAGGAUGAGAUAAGAGCUGAAAGCAUCUAAGCUCGAAGCCAACUCCAAGAUGAAUCUUCUUUUAAGAGCUCUAGUAGACUACUAGUUUGAUAGGCUGGGUGUGUAAUGGAUGAAAGUCCUUUAGCUGACCAGUACUAAUAGCUCGUUUGCUUAUCUUUAUAUAAGCAUCACUUC